UUGCGCGAGUCGUUGGGCUCGUUUUUCGAACCCAAAGGCUUAAUGAAAGUGAAGGAAGCUUGAACGCUUUCCUAGGGAGGAUGGCCGUGUCAGCCCGAACAGGCGGCGGCCCGCACUCCCGGGGCGUCUCUUUCUCAUUGCGAGUGGAGGCGCACCCAGAGCGUACACGUUAGGACCCGAAAGAUGGUGAACUAUGCCUGGUCAGGACGAAGCCAGGGGAAACCCUGGUGGAGGUCCGUAGCGAUUCUGACGUGCAAAUCGAUCGUCAGAGCUGGGUAUAGGGGCGAAAGACUAAUCGAACCAUCUAGUAGCUGGUUCCCUCCGAAGUUUCCCUCAGGAUAGCUGGUGCCCGCGGGUAACGAGUCUCAUCCGGUAAAGCGAAUGAUUAGAGGCAUUGGGGCCGAAACGACCUCAACCUAUUCUCAAACUUUAAAUAGAUGAGAACUCCGGCUUGCUUGAAAGUGAAGCCGGAGACUCGGAUCAGGGUGCCCAGUGGGCCAAUUUUGGUAAGCAGUGGGG
This 519-nucleotide ribosomal RNA is filed under the name Buenoa unguis. RNAcentral describes it as "eukaryotic LSU rRNA". It matches the Rfam family "Eukaryotic large subunit ribosomal RNA", at positions 682 to 1152 of the family's 3401-position model. Lineage: Eukaryota; Metazoa; Arthropoda; Insecta; Hemiptera; Notonectidae. The record is from RNAcentral.